AGCCUUCUGUGUCCGUGCUGAGACUUCGUCAGUGAUCGACCCGUUGGGGCUGAUGCAGCUUCUCAAAUAAGUAAAGUG
Molecule: microRNA precursor, 78 nt
Filed under: Trichobilharzia regenti
Lineage: Eukaryota; Metazoa; Platyhelminthes; Trematoda; Strigeidida; Schistosomatidae
Description: mir-3492 microRNA precursor family
Rfam family: mir-3492 microRNA precursor family
Source: Rfam by way of RNAcentral